Molecule: ribosomal RNA, 450 nt
Filed under: uncultured bacterium
Lineage: Bacteria
Description: bacterial SSU rRNA
Rfam family: Bacterial small subunit ribosomal RNA
Source: RNAcentral
GACGAACGCUGGCGGCGUGCCUAACACAUGCAAGUCGAGCGAAUGAAGUUCCUUCGGGAAUGGAUUUAGCGGCGGACGGGUGAGUAACACGUGGGCAACCUGCCUCAUAGAGGGGAAUAGCCUUCCGAAAGGGAGAUUAAUACCGCAUAAGAUUGUAGUGCCGCAUGGUACAGCAAUUAAAGGAGCAAUUCGCUAUGAGAUGGGCCCGCGGCGCAUUAGCUAGUUGGUGAGGUAACGGCUCACCAAGGCGACGAUGCGUAGCCGACCUGAGAGGGUGAUCGGCCACAUUGGGACUGAGACACGGCCCAGACUCCUACGGGAGGCAGCAGUGGGGAAUAUUGCACAAUGGGGGAAACCCUGAUGCAGCAACGCCGCGUGAGUGAUGACGGCCUUCGGGUUGUAAAGCUCUGUCUUCAGGGACGAUAAUGACGGUACCUGAGGAGGAAGCCA